RNAcentral lists this ribosomal RNA (490 nucleotides) under uncultured bacterium. RNAcentral's name for it is "partial 16S ribosomal RNA". It matches the Rfam family "Bacterial small subunit ribosomal RNA", at positions 29 to 505 of the family's 1533-position model. The record is from RNAcentral.
AGUGAACGCUGGCGGUAGGCCUAACACAUGCAAGUCGAACGGCAGCACAGUAAGAGCUUGCUCUUACGGGUGGCGAGUGGCGGACGGGUGAGGAAUACAUCGGAAUCUACUUUUUCGUGGGGGAUAACGUAGGGAAACUUACGCUAAUACCGCAUACGACCUACGGGUGAAAGCAGGGGAUCUUCGGACCUUGCGCGAUUGAAUGAGCCGAUGUCGGAUUAGCUAGUUGGCGGGGUAAAGGCCCACCAAGGCGACGAUCCGUAGCUGGUCUGAGAGGAUGAUCUGCCACACUGGAACUGAGACACGGUCCAGACUCCUACGGGAGGCAGCAGUGGGGAAUAUUGGACAAUGGGCGCAAGCCUGAUCCAGCCAUACCGCGUGGGUGAAGAAGGCCUUCGGGGUGUAAAGCCCUUUUGUUGGGAAAGAAAAGCAGCAGGUUAAUACCCCGCUGUUCUGACGGUACCCAAAGAAUAAGCACCGGCUAACUUCG